GGGGUUGUGGCUUAAAGGUAGAGCAUAUGCCUAGUACGCAUGAGGCACUGGGUUAGAUCUCUAGCACCA
Non-coding RNA from Ictidomys tridecemlineatus (thirteen-lined ground squirrel), 69 nucleotides. The record is from Rfam. Lineage: Eukaryota; Metazoa; Chordata; Mammalia; Rodentia; Sciuridae.